GCAGCCACCUAAACAUCAGGUCCAGGACUUAGAAUCUCUUGCUACUAGGUUGGUACAAGUCCUUCUCAGAUCUGGAGUUGAUCUGAGGUCGUUGGAGGUGCGGGUGAGAUCUCCAUCAACAGAUCUACAGGAAAGACUGUAGCAGGAUAGAUCUGCAAAGUCUGGUUCUAUCUACUUUCUUCCCUAUCUAGAAUACCCC
RNAcentral lists this long non-coding RNA (199 nucleotides) under Elaeis guineensis (African oil palm). RNAcentral describes it as "long non-coding RNA (EGUI_LNC076033)". The record is from RNAcentral. Lineage: Eukaryota; Viridiplantae; Streptophyta; Magnoliopsida; Arecales; Arecaceae.